Molecule: unclassified non-coding RNA, 271 nt
Filed under: Glomeraceae sp.
Lineage: Eukaryota; Fungi; Glomeromycota; Glomeromycetes; Glomerales; Glomeraceae
Description: partial contains 5.8S ribosomal RNA and internal transcribed spacer 2
Rfam family: 5.8S ribosomal RNA (bases 1-65)
Source: RNAcentral
GUGAAUCAUCAAAUUUUUGAACGCAAAUUGCACUCUCCUCGGAGAGUAUGCCUGUUUGAGGGUCGGCCUAUAAAAAUCGACAUCGUUGCUGUUUCGCGGUGGCGUUCGUCGGAAAUUGGGUCAUAUUAAAUCCUUUUGGUUUAAGCGACUUAAAAAUUUCUUUUUGGUUCCAUGAACGUUUCUAAGAUUUAUUUCUUUACACGUUUAAGGUAUCGAUUUUUAUUAGACUUGACUAUCAUAUCGGAUUGAGGCUAUAAUGUUUCAUUAACUG